This 500-nucleotide ribosomal RNA is filed under the name uncultured bacterium. RNAcentral's name for it is "bacterial SSU rRNA". It matches the Rfam family "Bacterial small subunit ribosomal RNA", at positions 899 to 1397 of the family's 1533-position model. The record is from RNAcentral.
ACUCAAAGGAAUUGACGGGGGCCCGCACAAGCGGUGGAGCAUGUGGUUUAAUUCGACGCAACGCGAAGAACCUUACCAAGGCUUGACAUGGGCGCGCCAUGUGCAGAGAUGCACAGUUUGCGCAAGCAACGCGCCACACAGGUGGUGCAUGGUUGUCGUCAGCUCGUGUCGUGAGAUGUUGGGUUAAGUCCCGCAACGAGCGCAACCCUUGCCCUUAGUAGCCAUCACGUAGAGGUGGGUACACUAUGGGGACUGCCGUGGAGAACACGGAGGAAGGCGGGGACGACGUCAAAUCAUCAUGCCCCUUAUGUCUUGGGCUACACACGUGCUACAAUGGGCGCAACAAAGUGAAGCAAGACUGCGAAGUGGAGCGAAUCACGAAAGACGCCCUCAGUUCGGAUUGUAGGCUGCAACCCGCCUGCAUGAAGUUGGAAUCGCUAGUAAUCGCGAAUCAGCAUGUCGCGGUGAAUACGUUCCCGGGCCUUGUACACACCGCCCGU